AGUGAACGCUGGCGGUAGGCCUAGCGCAUGCAAGUCGAACGGCAGCACAGUAAGAGCUUGCUCUUACGGGUGGCGAGUGGCGGACGGGUGAGGAAUACAUCGGAAUCUACUUUUUCGUGGGGGAUAACGUAGGGAAACUUACGCUAAUACCGCAUACGACCUACGGGUGAAAGCAGGGGAUCUUCGGACCUUGCGCGAUUGAAUGAGCCGAUGUCGGAUUAGCUAGUUGGCGGGGUAAAGGCCCACCAAGGCGACGAUCCGUAGCUGGUCUGAGAGGAUGAUCAGCCACACUGGAACUGAGACACGGUCCAGACUCCUACGGGAGGCAGCAGUGGGGAAUAUUGGACAAUGGGCGCAAGCCUGAUCCAGCCAUACCGCGUGGGUGAAGAAGGCCUUCGGGUUGUAAAGCCCUUUUGUUGGGAAAGAAAAGCAGCAGGUUAAUACCCCGCUGUUCUGACGGUACCCAAAGAAUAAGCACCGGCUAACUUCGUG
Molecule: ribosomal RNA, 492 nt
Filed under: uncultured bacterium
Lineage: Bacteria
Description: partial 16S ribosomal RNA
Rfam family: Bacterial small subunit ribosomal RNA
Source: RNAcentral